AUUGAACGCUGGCGGCAUGCCUUACACAUGCAAGUCGAACGGCAGCGGACCUUCGGGUGCCGGCGAGUGGCGAACGGGUGAGUAAUAUAUCGGAACGUACCUUUCAGUGGGGGAUAACGUAGCGAAAGUUACGCUAAUACCGCAUAUUCUGUGAGCAGGAAAGCAGGGGAUCGCAAGACCUUGCGCUGAUUGAGCGGCCGAUAUCAGAUUAGCUAGUUGGUGAGGUAAAGGCUCACCAAGGCGACGAUCUGUAGCGGGUCUGAGAGGAUGAUCCGCCACACUGGAACUGAGACACGGUCCAGACUCCUACGGGAGGCAGCAGUGGGGAAUAUUGGACAAUGGGGGAAACCCUGAUCCAGCUACGCCGCGUGGGUGAUGAAGGCCUUCGGGUUGUAAAGCCCUGUCGAGGGGGACGAAGUUCUGACGGUACCCCUCAAGAAAGCACCGGCUAACUCCGUG
Molecule: ribosomal RNA, 459 nt
Filed under: uncultured bacterium
Lineage: Bacteria
Description: bacterial SSU rRNA
Rfam family: Bacterial small subunit ribosomal RNA
Source: RNAcentral